RNAcentral lists this ribosomal RNA (460 nucleotides) under uncultured bacterium. RNAcentral describes it as "partial 16S ribosomal RNA". It matches the Rfam family "Bacterial small subunit ribosomal RNA", at positions 338 to 795 of the family's 1533-position model. The record is from RNAcentral.
CCUACGGGAGGCAGCAGUGAGGAAUAUUGGUCAAUGGACGAGAGUCUGAACCAGCCAAGCAGCGUGAAGGAUGACUGCACGAUGGGUGGUAAACUGCUUUUAUAUGGGAAUAAAACAGGGUAUGCAUACCCUCUUGUAUGUACCAUAUGAAUAAGGAUCGGCUAACUCCGUGCCAGCAGCCGCGGUAAUACGGAGGAUCCGAGCGUUAUCCGGAUUUAUUGGGUUUAAAGGGAGCGUAGGUGGAUUGUUAAGUCAGUUGUGAAAGUUUGCGGCUCAACCGUAAAAUUGCCGUUGAAACUGGCAGGCUUGAGUGCAGUAGAGGUAGGCGGAAUUCGUGGUGUAGCGGUGAAAUGCUUAGAUAUCACGCAGAACUCCGAUUGCGAAGGCAGCUCACUGGACUGCAACUGACACUGAUGCACGAAAGUGUGGGUAUCAAACAGGAUUAGAUACCCGUGUAGUC